Molecule: ribosomal RNA, 406 nt
Filed under: uncultured bacterium
Lineage: Bacteria
Description: partial 16S ribosomal RNA
Rfam family: Bacterial small subunit ribosomal RNA
Source: RNAcentral
AUUGAACGCUGGCGGCAGGCCUAACACAUGCAAGUCGAACGAGUGGCGGACGGGUGAGUAAUGUAUGGGAAACUGCAUGAUGGAGGUGGAUAAAUACUGGAAACGGUAGCUAAUACCGCAUACAAUCAGAUAUGUCCAGAGGGGAUUAGCUUGUUGUUGGGGUAACGGCUCACCACGGAGACGAUCCCUAGCUGGGUUGAGAGGGUGACCAGCCACACUGGAACUGAGACACGGUCCAGACUCCUACGGGAGGCAGCAGUGGGGAAUAUUGCACAAUGGGCGCAAGCCUGAUGCAGCCAUGCCGCGUGUAUGAAGAAGGCCGUCGGGUUGUAAAGUACUUUCAGCGGGGAGGCGUUACCCGCAGAAGAAGCACCGGCUAACUCCGUGCCAGCAGCCGCGGUAAUAC